AUUAUGGCUCAGGAUGAACGCUAGCGGCAGGCUUAACACAUGCAAGUCGAGGGGCAUCGGGAGUAGCAAUACUGCCGGCGACCGGCGCAAGGGUGCGUAACGCGUGAGCAACAUGCCCGUAUCAGGGGGAUAAUCCAUGGAAACGUGGUCUAAUACCCCAUAGUAAUUAUGUAAGGCAUCUUAUAUAAUUUAAAGCUUUGGUGGAUACGGAUUGGCUCGCGUGACAUUAGCUGGAUGGUAAGGUAACGGCUUACCAUGGCUACGAUGUCUAGGGGUUCUGAGAGGAAGGUCCCCCACACUGGAACUGAGACACGGUCCAGACUCCUACGGGAGGCAGCAGUGAGGAAUAUUGGACAAUGGAUGGAAAUCUGAUCCAGCCAUGCCGCGUGCAAGGAAGACGGCCCUAUGGGUUGUAAACUGCUUUUGUAUGGGAGCAAUAAGGGCUACGUGUAGUCCGAUGAGAGUACCAUACGAAUAAGCACCGGCUAACUCCGUGCCAGCCGCCGC
Molecule: ribosomal RNA, 507 nt
Filed under: uncultured bacterium
Lineage: Bacteria
Description: bacterial SSU rRNA
Rfam family: Bacterial small subunit ribosomal RNA
Source: RNAcentral